CCCCAGGUAGCUCAGUCGGAAGAGCAGGAAGAAUACAUAUCUGUUGACGCUGGUUCGAGUCCAGCCUGGAGGG
Molecule: transfer RNA, 73 nt
Organism: Stereum hirsutum FP-91666 SS1
Lineage: Eukaryota; Fungi; Basidiomycota; Agaricomycetes; Russulales; Stereaceae
Rfam family: tRNA
About the family: Transfer RNA (tRNA) molecules are approximately 80 nucleotides in length. Their secondary structure includes four short double-helical elements and three loops (D, anti-codon, and T loops).
Source: Rfam